Molecule: ribosomal RNA, 380 nt
Filed under: uncultured bacterium
Lineage: Bacteria
Description: bacterial SSU rRNA
Rfam family: Bacterial small subunit ribosomal RNA
Source: RNAcentral
GUGACGCGUGAGCAACCUGCCUUUGCAACCGGGAUAACAGUUGGAAACGACUGCUAAUACGGGAUGACGUACACGGGUCGCAUGGCCUGUGUACCAAAGAUGCGUCGUGCAAAGAUGGGCUCGCGUCUGAUUAGAUAGUUGGCGGGUAAGGCCCACCAAGUCGACGAUCAGUAGCCGGACUGAGAGGUUGAACGGCCACAUUGGAACUGAGAUACGGUCCAGACUCCUACGGGAGGCAGCAGUGGGGAAUAUUGGGCAAUGGGCGAAAGCCUGACCCAGCGACGCCGCGUGAGGGAAGAAGGUCUUCGGAUUGUAAACCUCUGUUGACAGGGAAGAAGAAAGUGACGGUACCUGUCGAGGAAGUCACGGCUAACUACGUG